UCAAUUUCGUUCCCAUUUACGUACACAGGCAGUAGUUUAUUUCCAGGAAAAAAAAUAAUAAUAAUUGAGGGAGAGGGAGAAUAGAAAUGAGAGAGAUCUUUCUUGAGGGGAAAUCCUUGCGGUUUCUUCUGUUGCUCUGUUCAAUUUCGUCGCAAUUCAUUUCAGGCUUUUCAGGCGAUCCAUCAGGUCCCAAAAAUGAGAAAAAGGCCGAUGAUCACGCCUCUUCCAGCAGCACAGGUUCUAGAACACUCAUAAUAUGCAUCGGGCUUAUAGCGUUUGCAGGGUUAUCGUUUUUCCUUUUCAAAAUUUGGCAAAGGAAAAGGCGUGAAGAGCAAUAUGCUCGUCUGCUAAAGUUGUUUGAAGAGGAUGAUGAGCUCGAAGUCGAACUUGGCCUUCGGGAUUGAAUCCAUUCCACGUGUUUUAUUCAAUGUAUCAUGAUGAAAGUAGCAGGUCACGUUGGGAAAUAUGCACUCCGAUGACCACAGGCAGGUUAGGGCUAUUAUUGCCCGAGGCUUUGAGGCCAUGUGAGACAUUUUCAUUUCCCAAGUAUAGCAUAUUAUUAGCGUCACGAUAUCUCAAAACGGAGGACUUGGUCUGUGAAAGUCGUUAACUAGUGGCAGAAGGAGUGUUCGUUCAUGCCAGACAGCCAAAGUUUUCACUAUCUCGUUUCAUUGUUCAUUUGUAUGUUUCCUCUGUAGUGUUUGCCAUUUUAUUUUUUAUUUUUUAUUUCUCUCUUGUGAACUAGGUUUCUGAAAGUUUAUCAGUUGAUCUUAGGAAAUGACAGACAUUUCUUACUGAUCUCGUUUGUGCUUACAGAAUUUCCAACCUUGUUUCAAGUGCACAUUUAUGAUAAUGGUGUAACUUGUAAAGAUUGGGAAUCUUUCAUUGAUGGAAGUUUUGUGUUUAUUUCCAACCUUCUUGUUUCAAGUGCACGUUUAUGAUAAUGCUGUAACUUGUAAAGAUUGGGAAUCUAUAAUUGAUGGAAGUUGUGUGUUUAUUUC
This is a long non-coding RNA of Ipomoea nil (Japanese morning glory), 1001 nucleotides long. RefSeq lists it as uncharacterized. The transcript is spliced from 3 exons. The record is from RefSeq and is a predicted model, not a curated record. NCBI's taxonomy places the organism in Eukaryota, Viridiplantae, Streptophyta, Magnoliopsida, Solanales, Convolvulaceae.